Molecule: RNA transcript, 3646 nt
Organism: Peromyscus californicus insignis
Lineage: Eukaryota; Metazoa; Chordata; Mammalia; Rodentia; Cricetidae
Gene: Rfesd
Gene name: Rieske Fe-S domain containing
Exons: 5
Source: RefSeq, a predicted model, not a curated record
GUUCUACUUUAAAUAUUUGUGGACACAGUCUUGUAUAUUAGCAUUCCUAGAUUUAAAUUCGGACCUAUCUUUCCUGAUAUCGUAUGCACUGCCAAUAUAAAGAUCUAUACAUUUUUGCUGAACGGCUUUUGUGGCUUUCAAGAUGAUUUUCUUUCAGGCCACAUGUUUUUAUAAAUCGCUGGCUGCUAAUUACAUGAAAGUAAUGCCAAACAGCAUCAUGGACCCUGGACUCUCUGAACAAGACGACGAGAAGAAGUACACUUCUGUCUGUGUUGGCAGAGAAGAUGACAUUAGAAAGUCGGAAAGAAUGACAGCUGUUGUCCAUGACAGAGAAGUGGUCAUUUUCUACCACAAAGGGGAAUAUCAUGCUAUGGACAUUCGUUGUUACCAUUCUGGAGGACCCUUACACUUGGGAGAAAUUGAGGAUUUCAAUGGACAAUCAUGUAUAGUUUGUCCCUGGCAUAAAUACAAAAUCACUUUGGCAACAGGAGAAGGAUUGUACCAGUCUAUAAACCCUAAAGACCCAUCAGCAAGACCCAAGUGGUGUUCCAAGGGAGUAAAGCAAAGGAUUCACACCGUGACGGUGGAUAAUGGCAAUAUUUAUGUGACGCUUUCUAAGGAACCUUUUAAAUGUGACUCUGAUUUUUAUGCCACUGGAGAGUUCAAAGUAAUUCAAAGUUCUUCCUGAUAAAAAUAUAUGGCAGCAAAAAAAUGUGUGUAUGUUUGAAAAUAUUUUACAGUAAUUUUGUUUCAGUAGCAAAGGUGAAUUUUUUCCAACAUAGAUACUAUAUAUAGCUUUAAAAAUCACAGGUUUUGUCAGGGGCUAGAGAGAUGGCUAAGAGCUCUUGCUAUUCUUCCAUAGGACCUGAGUUUGGUUCCUCACACUCACCUGUGACUAUAGCAUUGUCUCUAGUGUUUCAGCCCAUAAAGAACGUGUAAGCCACAGCCCAGCAGCACUCUUGGCAUAGUGGAGACUAUGUUUUAGUAAACAUUUGUAAGCAAUGUGACCGGCUCCAGGGAAUCUGAUGCCCUCUUCUGGCCUCUGUGGACACCAGCACACAGGUCAUACACACAUAAAUCAAAAUAGAAGCAAAUAUUUUUUAAACUCCUAGAUUUGGGAGGUUUAAAAGCACAUUUGCUUUAGUAUAACUUCUGGGCCACUCAAAGUUGACAGAAUACAUUCCAUCCCUCUCUGGAUUGAUUGGAAGCUGUACAUUAGAGGUUCGAGGUGAUCAGUUUAGGAAGGACUUACACAGUUGAUAACAGAUAAAACAAAACAUAACAGGAAAAAUUUAAGUGGGAAGAGAUUCCUUUUAAAUACAGCAGGUUUUAUUUGGGAAAGUUAUCAUACAUUCAAAGUUAACAGUUAGCAGAAUGGUCCUCCAUCACUUACUUCAGUUCCCAGCGAUCCUCUGUUCUUCUUACAUUGCUUUGUCCAUAGAUCACACACUUCCUGUGUUUAAUUAUCUUUUUUAAAGUUUUAAAGGUAAAAUAUAAGCACACUGAGGUCCUCAAAUCUUAGUUGUGUACUUUUGCUUACAAAUGUUUACCAGAUAUUUAUAUGUUAAAAUGGCCUCCAAGGAGGUCAGUGUGUAUGCUGAACUUAAAACUCAGAAACUUAAAGCUAGGUGUACUGAUACACACCUUUAAUUCCAGCAUUCUGAGGCAGAGGCAGGAGGAUCUCUGUGAGUUUGAGGCCAGUCUGGUCUAUACAAUGAGCUCCAGGCAACCAGCGCUACAUAGUGAGACUCUAUCAAGGGAGGGAGAAGGAGGGUGCUAGAUGUCAAAACCAAAUAAAACCUGGCUUGACUAGUCUCUUAUCAGGGCCAGUUCCUGAAGUAAAAAAGCCACACACAGUGACGCCCUAGCCAGGACAGAGGCAGUCUCCUAAUCAGUGCACCAAACUACUUUGCUUACAUGAAACUUUCAAAUAAAAGUUUAAAAGAAUUUUAGAGAAUAGUGUGUGUGUGUGUGUGUGUGUACAGUUUCCCAAAAAUGUUUUGUUCCUCACAGUUUACAAGCAGGUUGAUGUUCACUUGGUUUACACUGGUUUUACUGUACCAGUUAUGUGUGGUCAGUGCUGUUCUGACUGCCUGGGACCAUAUCAUGCUUGUUAUUCAGGUUUUAGAACACCCCCCUGGGUGUCUGUCAUGCAGAACUUAGCAGUCAGUAAAAUGCAGGUGUAAAUGGGGCCAGAAAGGAUGUGUAGGUAAUGAACCCAUGGUGAAGACUGUUAAAAAUAAAGCUAAGUCUCAAAGCAUAGUAAUUUUCAUGAUGUGAGGUGAACUAAGUGUCUAAACCUAGUAUUUAGCAUUCUGCUGUCCCUGGACUCUUCUCCUUGUUGUUGUGAAAAUGAGGGAGCUGCAGAAAUGGCUCUGUGGUUGACAGCAUUUGCUGGUCUUCAGAGGGGACUGCAGUUUGGUUCCCAGCUCCCACAUCAGUGACACACAAGAGCUUGGACCUUUGCUGUAUAUUAGUGCAAUGCCUUUACUUUGGGGAUGUGGGUUACAUGACCAAAGAGAUUUGUUACUCAAUUCUAAGAAUACUACCAAGCCAGGCUUGGACUUUCUCAACAAUGUUUACACCAACAGUUACUCACUGGGUUCAGAAAAUAUGCCAUCUCUGAGGGGAGUUCAUACCAGCCUAUUAUUUCUUAAAUAGUCACAAAAUCUUAUCAUGUGUUAGGAUAUAAAGUGCUUAAAAGAAACUAAAAUUGUUCCUUUAGGCAAAAAUGAAUUCAGGUCCUUCAUAACUUCACAAGUGACUUAUAAAAUCAGUAGGGAGACUCAGCUAUACUGCCUGCAAAUAGUAAUAAAUAUACUUUUUACUAUCUCUGAAAGUGUAGCAUUUUUAAAAAACAUUUAUUUGACUUACUUAUUUUAUGUGUAUUAGUGCAAAGAUGUCAGAUCCCCUGGAACUGGAGUUACAGACAGUUGUGGGCUGCCAUGUGGGUGCUGGGAAUUGAACCGAGGUCCUCUGGAAGAGCAGCCAGUGCUCUUAACUGCUGAACCACCUCUCCAGCUCCAGCAUUUUUUUAAAAUAAAGUUUUUGUCUGCCUGUGUGUAUGUGCACCACACUUCAUCUGGCUCCUGCAGAAGUGAGAAAAGGGCAUUAGAUCCCCAGGGACUGCAGUUAAAGACAGUUGGGAGCUGCUGUGUGGGUGCUAAGAACCAAAUCUGGGCUCUCCACAAGAGCAGCAAGUGCUCUUAACUGCUGAGCCAUCUCUCCAGCCUCAAAAUGUAUAGCUUUUAGUUAUGAAAUUUUCCUUUCCAGAUAAGCAUUCUGAACAAUUCUUCAUUAAAAAUAUAAAUGAAUUAUGAACACAUCCAUAUUAUAAACAGUGUAAAAUCUAACAACAAAAUAUGAAUUCUCUUAUUAAAAAUAUUGUAUAGUCAGGUCAGAGAAGAUGGCUCAGUGGCAUGUUCUGUUCUUCCAGAGGACCUGUGUUUGGUUCCCAGCAUCCUUGUCUGGUGGCUUCUGGAGACUUGACACUCUCUUCUGGCCCAGGAGGCUUGCGGUGAGCUGAAAGCUUGUCUGGCUUCUCUGGCAAUGACCUGGAAGGUUUUGCUUUGAUUUCACCUUCAGAAAACAUCGGCUCUGGAAGCACGGGCUCAGAAAAGGCUUUCCUAAAAUUCUCACUCUCUCU